RNAcentral lists this long non-coding RNA (297 nucleotides) under Mytilus galloprovincialis (Mediterranean mussel). The record is from RNAcentral. Lineage: Eukaryota; Metazoa; Mollusca; Bivalvia; Mytilida; Mytilidae.
AGACACACGUAACUGUUUUUUUUACACAUUAAAUGCUCUGAUUACAAACAAUACAAUCUAUCUUUAUAACAAAACCCUUUGUCAUCAAGCCGGGGUACAUUUGAACUAAUACUUGAGGGUCGCGAUGGGGUUUACAGAACAGAGAAAAAUUGGCAAAAAUCUACGGAAAAUGGACCGAAAACGUAACGAAUUUAAAAUAGGACAAAAAAAAGAAAAGAGAAUAAUUAGUUGUUAAGAUGUAUAAAAAAAGAAUAGAGAACCAUUAGGGGCUAAAAUAUAAAGAAUAGAAAAUAAUGG